Salvia hispanica is the source of this 1042-nucleotide RNA transcript. It is a transcript of the gene named actin-related protein C3, with no coding region annotated. Lineage: Eukaryota; Viridiplantae; Streptophyta; Magnoliopsida; Lamiales; Lamiaceae. The record is from RefSeq and is a predicted model, not a curated record.
AAAAUAAAUUACCUCGUGGCUUUUCUUCUUCACCAAGCGAUUUAGUAGUUUUAGGUGAUCCCUUCCAAUUUCUAAUGCUUUUUGUUGUUGCGGUACCAUUGCAGAUGCUCUAAUUCUUCUUCUCAAUUCCGUCCGACGCCGUCUCCCUCGCCCACCGCUUCCCAUCGCUUCUCGCCGCCGUCGCCGAAAUAUUGCUUCGGCAGACAUUGGGUACAAAGAACUAUACACAUUGGAUUAACAUGGUAUACCACUCCAGUUUCGUUGACGUUGAAGACAUUUCUAAAGCAUGUGGUUGCCCUCUACUGCCCCUAAAAAGCCACAUUAAAGGACCAGCUCCAGUCUCAGAACAAGAUAGCACUGAUAUUGUGGAUGAGGCGAUUACAUUCUUUCGUGCCAAUGUCUUUUUCAGAAACUUUGACAUUAAGAGUCCAGCUGAUAAGCUUCUUAUCUACUUAACAUUCUACAUAAAUCUUGCUCUGAAGAGGCUAGAAGGCUGCCGGACAUUGGCUGAAGGAACUAAAGCAAUUAUCAAUCUUGGACUGGAAAAGGUCCCUGUGCCCGGGGAGCAUGGAUUCCCAUUUCCAGGACUAUUUUCACAGCCACAGUCUGAAGAUGAAGCAGAGCUCUUCAGAAAUUACUUGAAGCAGAUACGCGAAGAAACAAGUGGAAGAUUAUUGAGUGUGGCGUAUCGAUCCAAUGGAACUCCAAACAAAUGGUGGUUAGCAUUUGCCAAAAGAAAGUUCAUGAAUGUCAUCACACCAUGAACAGAGGCAACGACAGCACAGCAGACUCAACUAGUAACAAUCCAUGUGUUUCUAGCUAACGCCACUGACACUGCUGCCCCAACCUCCGCAAUGCAGCCGUCGAGCCUUGCCCCACACCACUUUUGCGGCCCUGUAAGUUCAUGGCGUUGUUGACCCAAAAAAACUUUUAAAAAAUAUUUUAUCCUACUGACUACUAGUCUUGCUUCAACUUUUGCAGACUAUGAUGGCAUAAUUUGGUAGAAAUUUUCUCUUUAUUAUAAUAUUGCAAUUGCCUUAAA